This 24-nucleotide non-coding RNA is filed under the name Mus musculus (house mouse). The record is from miRBase by way of RNAcentral. Lineage: Eukaryota; Metazoa; Chordata; Mammalia; Rodentia; Muridae.
UACACAGACCAGUGACUUUCUGCA